RNAcentral lists this ribosomal RNA (253 nucleotides) under uncultured prokaryote. RNAcentral describes it as "partial 16S ribosomal RNA". It matches the Rfam family "Bacterial small subunit ribosomal RNA", at positions 525 to 777 of the family's 1533-position model. The record is from RNAcentral.
ACGUAGGGACCAAGCGUUGUUCGGAUUUACUGGGCGUAAAGGGCGCGUAGGCGGCGCGGUAAGUCACUUGUGAAAUCUCUGAGCUUAACUCAGAACGGCCAAGUGAUACUGCAGUGCUAGAGUGUGGAAGGGGCAAUCGGAAUUCUUGGUGUAGCGGUGAAAUGCGUAGAUAUCUGGAGGAACACCGAUGGCGAAGGCAGCCCCCUGGACUAACACUGACGCUCAUGCACGAAAGCGUGGGGAGCAAACAGGA